Molecule: long non-coding RNA, 2721 nt
Organism: Ictalurus punctatus (channel catfish)
Lineage: Eukaryota; Metazoa; Chordata; Actinopteri; Siluriformes; Ictaluridae
Source: Ensembl
CUUUAUUCUCGAAAUGUUACGACUUUUAUUUUCGAAAUAUUGCGACUUUAUUCUUGAAAUAUUACAAAUAUUACGACUUUUAUCUCAAAAUAGCAUGCUCCUCAUAAUAUUACGACUUGAUUCUCGUAAUCUUGUAUUUUUAUUUUUUAAACAGUGGCCCUAAAUCUCCAUCGUACAAAUUUCCUCUUACACCACAGCAACUUGCCAAGAUGACAUUUUUAUGAAUGUAGUACUUCGUAUAGUGUAGCAUACAAUAUAUACAUCUUAUUGAAAGGAAUAUACGAUGUACUUGAUGCUCAGCUCUACAAAUGUCUCCAAAUAAGUAAAUAUCUUAGCUGGAGUAUAUUAAGAUGUACAAUACGAGAGACAUAAAAUUAUAAAAUCCCAACAUUUCUGUAACUAUGUAUCGCUUCAAUCCACUUCAGACGUUUUCUCAUUUCCGCUGUUGGCACGGAGACGAGUUGCUGACUUGUUCACCGAUACACACUGAGGUUUGGUUAAAUUAGUUUCGUUGCGUGUUUGGAUGUGCUUGUCAGAAGUAUUGGCACCUCUGCAUAUGUUCUCUGCGUUUAUAAUGAGAGCUGCAUAGCGCUUUUUCUUAUUUUAUUUUUAAAAAAUUAUAUAUAGAUCCAGUUAGGAAAGCUCGAUACUCAAUCUCAUCCUGGGGACGACUUCUCUUAACAUCACGUUGAUGUUGCUGCCAAAUUAACAACGUUCCCUAUUUUAAUGUUUGCAUUCCUGUUCUUCUCUCCCCUCUACAACAGUAUAAGCUUUGCUGGCUCAUCAAGCUCGAGUGAAUGGAGAGACACACACUGUCUGAACUGGUGCUGAGUAUCGUUUAAAAAAACAAUUAAGACUAACUUUUGUUUCAUUGAUGAUUGGUAUAAUAAUGCAGGGAGGAAAGUGGGGAUUUAGAUUUUUUUGUCAUAGAAUUGGAUUUGGCUACUCAUUUUUACAAAGAAUUACAAGAGUAUUUAUUUUUCUAAGACGUGUCUUAAUUUGUGUGAGGAGGGAAAAAAAAGGUUUUGCAACCGCAACCAACAACGUGUGUGGAUUUAGUUUGUAUUAUUAUUAUUAUUAUUAUUAUUAUUAUUAUUAUUACAACUUCACGUUAUUGUGUGUAUACGUGUGUGUUUUGUCAGUUUGCUCUGUUUCCGUGUAGUCUGAACAACCUCGGGUAAUUGUCAGGCUCAAGCUCAAGGCCCUGUUUUUGUAUGCCAAAUAAGGACAAUAAGUCCAUUUUCAUCGUCCCUCGUGAUGCUAUACUCUGCCCUGACAACGUCAUUGGAGUGUGCAGAGACACGAGGCAGUGUGUGUUCUGUCUGCGUUCAACGGAAACAGUCCUCCCAUUCAACCGUCUUCAUUUGAUCAGUAUUUAUCAGGAAGAUUUUCUUAAACUUUUUCAGGCAAUAAGACUCCCAAAAGCUUCCAGCUUUUGUUCUUUAUUUGGAUGGACUUGCACACACAGGUUUUGACCAACCCAAGCUUUCAGAGGUGUUGGAUCUACAAGUCAAAGCAAGAUCUCAAACCCCUGUUCACAAGUCGAUGGAAAAAAAACAAACAAAAAAAACAAUGCCAUGAUUCAUCCAGGAUGGAGUCUCUCCGGACGUCACAGGCUAAUUGAGGCUUUAAUACAUGAUUAUGCUUAUCAACAAACAAACCUUUAUUUAUUAUGGUGCUAAUGUAUCCAAACAGUACUCCAGCCAAAGUGUGUGUUCCUGUACUGUUGGAACGAUGGUGUGCAUGAAUUUGAGUUGUGUGUCCCCCACAACGAGAUACUGCAUUAAUGAAGCCCCGUCACAGCUGUCCCACACUACAACGUUCCACUUCCUGUCCCGUCAGUAACGUUUCGGGGCCGCAGGUGGGAUUCAUCAUCACAGUACUUUUGCUUGUACAGUAUUUAUUUGGCAUUCUCCUGUUUAUUUUAUUUUUUAUUUUUUUAUAUCUACUCAGUUUUACACAGAACGAAAGUCGUGUUGGUUCCUAGUUUGGACUUCUUCAAUAGUUUUGAUUCCUAAAUGUUUUUUUUUGUUGUUGUUGUUUUGUUUUCUUCUUUAUUUAAUUUUACUUCAAAUGUUUGUCACACUGUAAGAAGUUGUGAUGGAGUUUUUGAUAAGACAUUUUUCAGUUGUACAAUGUGGCCUGUACAUAUUAAAAGAUUUAUGAGUGAACUUGCCGUGCUUGUUGUUCCGGUAUGUUAUGAUGCUACCUGAGGUGUCUAAUUGUAAAUUACUUGUCAAGGUUUUUGAUCGAUAAACAAGUUGGACUCGAUACCAGCGGCCUCGACAGGGAUGCCUCGUCCACCGUCAAGUCCUUGUUACUAAUGUGUACACCAGAAAUAAUAAUACAUUUUUGUAUACAGUAUCUCUCAAAAGUCAGUACACCCCUCACAUUUUUGUAAAUAUUUGAUUAGAUCUUUUCAUGUGACAACCCUGAAGAAAUGACACUUUGCUACAAUGUAAAGUAGUGAGUGUACAGCUUGUGUAACAGUGUAAAUUUGCUGUCCCCUCAAAAUAACUCAACACACAGCCAUUAAUGUCUAAAUCACUGGCAACAAAAGUGAGUACACCCCUAAAUGAAAAUGUCCAAAUUGGGCCCAAUUAGCCAUUUUCCCUCCCCGGUGUCAUGUGACUUGUUAGUGUUACAAGGUCUCAAGUUUGAAUGAGGAGCAGGUGUGUUUAAAUUUGGUGUCAUCGCUCUCACACUCCCUCAUACUGGUUG